RNAcentral lists this ribosomal RNA (470 nucleotides) under Escherichia coli. Its description in RNAcentral is "partial 16S ribosomal RNA". It matches the Rfam family "Bacterial small subunit ribosomal RNA", at positions 1 to 467 of the family's 1533-position model. RNAcentral also lists the same sequence under 1 other name. The record is from RNAcentral. Lineage: Bacteria; Pseudomonadati; Pseudomonadota; Gammaproteobacteria; Enterobacterales; Enterobacteriaceae.
AAAUUGAAGAGUUUGAUCAUGGCUCAGAUUGAACGCUGGCGGCAGGCCUAACACAUGCAAGUCGAACGGUAACAGGAAGCAGCUUGCUGUUUCGCUGACGAGUGGCGGACGGGUGAGUAAUGUCUGGGAAACUGCCUGAUGGAGGGGGAUAACUACUGGAAACGGUAGCUAAUACCGCAUAACGUCGCAAGACCAAAGAGGGGGACCUUCGGGCCUCUUGCCAUCGGAUGUGCCCAGAUGGGAUUAGCUUGUUGGUGGGGUAACGGCUCACCAAGGCGACGAUCCCUAGCUGGUCUGAGAGGAUGACCAGCCACACUGGAACUGAGACACGGUCCAGACUCCUACGGGAGGCAGCAGUGGGGAAUAUUGCACAAUGGGCGCAAGCCUGAUGCAGCCAUGCCGCGUGUAUGAAGAAGGCCUUCGGGUUGUAAAGUACUUUCAGCGGGGAGGAAGGGAGUAAAGUUAAUACC